GGGUAAUAUGGCACCUUGGACACAACAAACAACAAUAACCAUGUACAAUACAAAACCAUUACAAUUACAACCAAUUACAAUACAUUAUUUUUGGAGCAGUAUUCACUGAGAAAUUACAACUAAACAAAUUAGAUACCAUGCUGAUCAUGUUAUAUACACAGUGAGGCGCAAGUGUUAUUAAUGACGGCAACCGUUUUUACUCCCCCAAUCAUUUAUCCCCACCCCAGGUGGCUGGUAGCACCUUAAUUAGGGAGGACUGGCACAUAGUAAUGGCUGGAACGGAAUAAAUGGAAUGGUAUCAAACACUCCAUUCAAGCCAUUAUUAUGAGCUGUCCUCCCCUCAACACCCUCCUGUGAAUACCCACUCCCUCGAAUUUAUCAAGUGACAGUGGAGUUGAAUGAAUACUUAUGUGGGAGAAAAAGAGCUUCAACGCAGAUUUACUUAAAGUGUAGUCAACUUUGUUCUAAGGGCAGAAAGAAUCUGAUUGGUUUAGGGCAGAACCAAUCCGAUUGGUUUCUAACUCUAAAUCUUGUAAAUAACUUUGAGUUACAAGUUGUAAUGUUUUAAAAUCCUUUUUGUGCUACAGUAGUCAAACAAAUGUGACAGUAUCUCUAAGAUACAACUUGUCUCCUGACUUGAAGCGAAGAGUAAAAUGUAGCAAACUAGCAGCCUUAUGCUAAGCUAAUCAGAGCAAGAAAGCUAAGCUAAGCAUUUAGUAACCUCUUAGCUACUCAUGUUGAAUUAAUAAAUAGUAUAUUGAGUCAUAGAAUAGAACUAGCUGGGUCUCUAAUAUACCUGUAAAUCGGCUCCCAUUUACUUUAUCAAUAAUAUUUAGUUAAAUAAGCUAUAUAAACUUCUGGGGGAAGAAAAGUAAAAUGGUCAUUUCCAUGUAAAAGGACCCAUGAGCACCAACACGUGAAGUUCAUAGGAGAAAUUAAGGCAAAUAUACAUUUUUCAACCAUUUGCCAUCCUAAAAAUGACUAUAAUGUUAAGAAAAGACCCCUGCCAACUAAUAUCAACACGUUCAUAUUUACUUUUGGGUACAUGUUUCUGCCUUCUGUAAGUUUAAGAAACAUUGCCAUGUGCUUUGAAAUUCCGUUACCAAAACCCCACAUAUCUUUAAGAUAUUUUCUCAUUUCUCUCCCUCAUGAUGGAGGAUAAAGAAAGGUCACAGAUGUAACAAGUACACCUAUCAAUUAUUAUAGUAUUUUACUGAUAUCAAUUUUGUUAAUAAAUUAUUAAAAAUGCUUAAAAACCAAAUUGGUUACGGAAUUUCCCAAAAAUCGGUAAAGGAAUUUCUGCUAUUUAAUUGGCUACAACGGGAAAUCAUAGUAGUCACAAACCACAGUUGGGUUCACAAGUUUGGACAGCACAGUACUAUACAGUACAGUAAAUAAAAGUUGAGUAGAGUUCAGCACAGUACAGUAAAGAAAAGUACAGUACAGUCCUGUAUUGUAAAGUACUGAACUAAGCUCUACUUUACUGUACUCGAUUGUACUCUACUGUUCUGUGCUCUGCUGUACUGUACUCUACUGAACUCUACUGUUCUGUACUUUGAUGUCCAAACUUCUGAAACAUAGACGUACAUCUAUGACUGGUUCAGAUUUGGUUAGUUUCGGACCAAGCAAAUGUGGUCUUGUUUGGGGGCAGAGCUCAUUAAAGUAAUAGCCGUGUAGAAUAAUCCCCAAAAUAUGCAAAGGAGGAUAUUGCAUUUGUAUACCUUUGUGUACCUAUUUAGGAUAGAUCCCCAUGAAGAGAAUGACAUUCAUAUCCAUAAUUAUCCAUCUGUGUAGUACAGGACUUAGAUCAGGGACCCAUGAUGAAAUUCUGUUACAUUUUAUUUUUUACUAGUCAAGUCAGUUAAGAACAAAUUCUUACUUUCAAUGAUGGCCUAGGAACAGUGGGUUAACUGCCUUGCUCAGGGGCAGAAUGACAGAUUUGUACCUUGUCAGCUUGGGGAUUCGAACUUGCAACCUUUCGGUUACUAGUCCAAUGCUCUAACCACUUAUAAAUCCACUUCACCUAUUGUAGUUCCAUAACAAAAAAAUAUUUUUUUCAAAGUCAAGGUGUCAUGUCAUAGCUGACACCCCCUUCUUUCUGUAGACAUUGUUGAGUCCUAAUUCUGAAAUUUUACAGAAAUUCUGUUACCAAACUUUGAAUCUGCACAGGUCUUCUAGUAAAUGUGUUUUUGUUAAAUUUUCUGUGUAAAUUGUUAAACUUAGCCCUUGUGCACUGUAUGGUUUGUUAAACUUCAAAAUAUUUUUUUGUUUGUUUGAUAUACAUUUUAAGCUAAAAAUCUGAGUCGUGGAAUUGCCCUUUUCUAAAUUCUAUUGUUAUCGUCACCCAAACUAACAUUUACUGGCAUAUUUGAGACCUAGCUAGCUAGCUCUGUUCUUUGACUCAACAUUAGUAAAAUAUAGCUAUCUGCUAGCCAACUCGUUCUGUUUAGCUUAGCAUUUUAUAUUGAUGCCCCUGGAGCAGCAUAACUAUCCAUCCCUGUUGUUUUUGUCAUAAAGCUUAUUCAACUUAACAUUUCAAUAAAGCAUAUGUUACCUGACUUACUUGUAUAUUUGACACCUAAUUAGCUAUAGUAGUUAUAUUUAUUAAUUCAACAUGAGUAGCUAAGAGGUUACUAAAUGCUUAGCUAGCUUUCUUGCUCUGAUUAGAUUAGCAUAUCGCUGCUAGCUUGCUACAUUUGACUCUUUGCUUCAAGUCAGGAGACCAGUUGUAUUUUAGAGGUAUUGUCACGUUUGUUUUCGUACUCAUAAUAACAACAUGUAACUCAAAGUUGUAUUUACAUGAUUCUCAGUUCAAACCUUCGCCAUGUUCUUAAGAGUAGUAUAUCUGUUAAACUCUGCCCACUGACCUGUUCUUGACAAUACAAUCAUCUCAAGUUAGCCCAGCGGUCGCAAAGAUUUUAGGACACCGCCCCGCUGCAUGAGGUGUGAUGUGUGGUUGCUGUUAUUGCAGUUUGACUGUUUGGCUGUGCAAAAUCCUGGCAAAACAUUCAGCACACAGUUCUAAAAACCCACUGUUUCUGCUCUGAGGCAGUAUGUCAGUUCCAUUUAAAAAUAGAAAAGGCAUCUUUAAGGAUAUUCUCAUCCACGCUCAUUAAUUAAUGCUCUCUGUUUAAAGUGUAAUAUUACACUAAGAAGACAGACAAUGUUCUCUGUGUGUGUGUGUGUGUGUGUGUGUGUGUGUGUGUGUGUGUGUGUGUGUGUGUGUGUGUGUGUGUGUGACAUAAUGUUGAGGAGGUCACUUCUGGUUAAAAAAAGAAUUAUUUGUUCAUCAGCCGUUAGUGAGUUGGCAGAUUAUAGUUCUGUAGCAACACCAGCAGGCCCCAGUUAGGAAAAGGCCACAAUGUCAAACCAUCUGUGUGUAGGCGCACCCUACAUCCUCCACGCAACAUAGCUCACCAGUAACAAACAGUAGCCCAGAUAUGCUUUCAUACUAAUUUCUUUAUCUGAAGCCAGAUGGUUGAUUUGAUGUUUAUCUGUUAUUAAGCAUUUCUGAAGCAUUGCUAUUGCCACUAGAGGGGACAGGUAAAUGAAUUCUGCUACUUGCUUUAGUCCUGAACAUUCAGAACAUUCUCUAUUAGUCAUGUACACUACAUCUGCUUGAAAAGAAUGACCAACUCAAACACUUUGUCUGUGUUAGAGGAAAAGAGAGGUCAGGGGUCAUGGGGUGGGCUCACCGGUGGGGAUAGCACAUGGUUGUGUCCCCCAAGGCCAGGGUCCAGAGAGAGAGUGUCAACAUCGCUGUAACGAGCCAUACUGGAUAGAUGUAGUUGCUGGACACUCUGGAGCUCAGUGAAGUGGCCCUCUUGGAGGUUGUCAAAGUCCAGAGGAUGAACAUGAUGAGUGGCGUGAUAGUCCCAGUGUUCUGAACAGAGAGACACAUUUUAAUUGUUCAUUGAGUAAGAGGUAGGUCUGAAGGAAGUGUACACUAAAUGGCAAUGUUCAGAUGGCAUAGAAUAGAGAAAACCUAUUUGACUACAGAUUCCAAAUACACAAUGUCUGCUAUUCAUUUAAAGUGUUCAGCAAAAUGUUUUAGGCAAUUUCCUGUUCACACAUCUUUGCUUUGGCAGUUGUCUUUUUCUUUCUUUUUUAGCCUGAAUGUCACAAAUGUGUUAAAACGUGUAGAAACCCAAAAACUUUCUGCAUGUAAACAUGUUUUAGUGAUCUGUUGUGUUCUGUCCUGAGACUGCACCAGAGAGUUGCCAUUCUUAGGAUUUUAUAUUUAUCAAGCAUAUUGUAAUAAUUUAGUUUGUUAAAUGGAGCAGAGCCUAUAUAAUUCUACAGCUCCUACUAGUAAUUACCAGUUUAUUCUUGCAGUAGGAUCAGUUGAUUACAGGAGAAAAUACAACCGAACCUCUCCAUUUCAAUAAACCCCAGGGGGGAAAGUUGUGCCUGACCGAAAUGGCAUCUGUUUCCUGUACUCCAUGGGGGCAACAUGCUUGGCUCCAGCUGCAGUGUCUUUAGACUUUUUAUGUAGAGUAUUGUCUUUAAUAUAGCUACUGUGUGUGAUUUCCUCAGGCCUGGUCAAACACAUAUCUAGUUGGGCCGGCACUAUUCACUUCCGUAUAAGUGAUUUUCAAAUUGUUUAUUUCGUCUACAAUUAUGUGAUGGACCAGGUGAGAUGAGGUACCCCUCCAUUCUGUACGGAUGCAACAUGAAGGCUUCUUCUUGAACCGACCUACUUCAGGCACUUAGCUUCAAUUGUUUCUCACACUCUUUCAAAACUUUUCCCGCACCAUUGCACAACGUUUACCAAAUUUCCUCUCACCAAACGAAACCCAAAAUGUCUCCCUCUGCCUACACAACUUUAUCCACUUGUAAGCCAAGCUAUUCUCUCAAAUUUUGUCUAUGAAAAUAAAAUAAAUUAGCCCUACUCAGUGACUGAAAAUUAAAAGGGAACCUGAUAUUUUGACUUCUGUAUAUCUUUGUGGGUGUACACAUCUCAGUGUGUCUGGUGGCGGUUCCUGGUCAUUGGUGAUUUGUCAGGGGGAGAUUCUAACAUCUCACAUUUAUUAAGGCUCAAUUGCAUCGCCUCCCAAACCAGCCAAUCAUUUCAAGGCCUGUCUUAACUGUCAGUCUUCUAGCAUAGCAUCAUCUGUCAGUGGAUAGUAUCUUUCCAUCUCAUUGUGACCCUUUUUCCAACCAAAUUAAAUGUUUUUUUUUGUGUGGCUAAAGUGCAGGUAUCCAUAUGCAUAUACCUUGCAUACACUAUACAAAUCUAUAUGAAUAUUACAAAUCUAAUAUUAAACAUUUUUAGCAUGUUUCAUUGCCAGAUUGAUAGUCGCCCGGUCCACGUUAUAACAAUUGUAUUUUGCAUUUAACAUUGUCAUCUCGCAGACCAGUAUCAGUGUGUACAUUGGAUUUGGUGUUCAGCAAGGUUCGGCACUUGGACCCCUGUUAUUCCCUAUACUAUGCUAUCCCUUCAAAUAAACUGGUGUAAAUAUGUCAAUUAAAAAACAAACCAGUAGCUUGAGUUCUAGCCGUAUCAAUUAAAUAACUCACAUACAUCGAUGAAUUCUGCUAUAUUUCUAUCCAAACAAUUGUUUCAUCUGUGUGUAGAUUAGCUGGACAGAUAAAAUCAUGACACUGCCUUUUUGCAAUCCUGCAACGGCUGUGGAGAUUAAGGGAGAGGAGAUAAAAUACCUCCUAAGACAAUAGUAGUGUCGGUGGGGGGAUUCUUGAGAAAUCGCAAAUGUUUUAAUCUAUUUUCUGACCAAAUGUGUUUUUCUCACCAUUCACCAUUCUUCCUCACAAUGGGUACAGGGUACAGUAGCUCUGCUACUAGACUCUUCCGACCCUCUCUUCUGACCCUAUGGGCUGGUUUACAGGACACAGUAUGAGUAUGCUUUUUUAUCCAGGACUAGGCCAUGUCUGGGAAACCAGCCCUAUCUGUCUCAGGUAUCUCUCCCUGACACAACAUCUCUGUUUUAACUUGAAGAGAAGUGAGGUCACAAGCCUAGCCUCCAACUGACAGUAUAGAUUUGGACAGAGGAAGAGUGCAUCAGUCUGAUAAUGACCAGAUACUUGAAAUACUGUAGACAGUAAGAUCCAAAUCGCACUGAAGAUAAUUUCGGAAUGAUUAUUAUAUUCCCUUGGUUGUUCAAAGCUUAAUAUAACACACAACCAAAAACCAUGUAGUCAAAUUUGCUCUAUUAUGGCUGUCCAUCAAUUCUAUUGUUUUUUCUCUCCUUCAUCUCUAUCAAAGACUAUGUUGACUAUAUUUUCUGUGAAUUGUCAUAACCUUACCUGAUAAUAUUUUAUGUGCUAAGGAGCACCAAAUACAGUGUAUUCUUUGUUUAAUAAUCAACAUUAACAAAGGCAAACAAUCAGUUUGACUUACUGGUUGCAGUAUAACAAUCUUAAUUUGGUAGACCUGUGCAUUUGAUGUUGGUGUACUUUGUUGGAUUUUAGUUUACGUGGCUUUUCAGUUUGCCUUGCUUGCAUGGUCUGGGGUUAUAAUUUGAGUCCCUUGCAUCCUUCUACCACUUGUAGGUCUGCUAAAACCACACAGCCUGUCCAUGGCCCCCAUGUUAAUCACAGCUGUCUGAGCAAAACUGAUGACAUUUCGUAUUAAUACACUAUGUGCGUUACAGCAAGCCCAGCACGCUAUUUUCACCACGGCUAUUUUCAGAGCACACAAACGACUCUCUUUUAGAAUAUAUAGUUUUUUCUCAAACACAAAAAUAUGCUGUUUUGUCAUAAAUCAUUCAGGUUUCCCAGAUCUGUUUAAAAUGAACUAUUAGGUGGAGAUUGGUGGACAUCUCAGUAAGAGGUCAGUCUCUCAGCCUCAUGGACAGCACUAUAGUUCGUUUGAUGAGUAUGAUAUAGUGUCAUUUCUGUUCCCCUGUACUUUGCUUUACAGAGUACAUCCACAUACAGGUCUACUACAUACUACAUAAGGCUUCAGAUUACUAGGCCUUCGACAGCUAAAAACAAGAUGAAAGUUAAACAGGCGUCAUUGUGCUCAUCCCUUUUUGGGAAAGACAAGAACACACUUUCAGUUCUGUGUUUGAAUGAAUGGCUCAAUACAUUAAAUGUGUGUUUCUUACAAUGUAAAAAACUACAGGAAAUAGGCAGAUAACAUUCCAACAGAAUCAGGCCUAUAAUUUGGUUUUACAUUUCUACUGUUAGUCAACAAGGCGGUGUCAGAGGAAGGCCCUAAAAAUGGUCAAAGACCCCAGCCACCCCAGUCAUAGACUGUUCUCUCUACUACCGCAUGGCAAGCGGUACUGGAGUGCCAAGUCUAGGACAAAAAGGCUUCUCAACCGUUUUUACCGCCAAGCCAUAAGACUCCUGAACAGGUAACCAAAUGGUUACCCGGACUAUUUACAUUGUGUGCCUCCUCCCAACCCCUCUUUUACACUGCUGCUACCCUCUGUUUAUCUAAAAUGUAUAGUCACUUUAACUAUACAUUCAUGUACAUACUACCUAAAUUGGCCCGAACAACUAGUGCUCCUGCACAUUGGCUAAACGCAUUGUGUUCCCCCCCCAACCCCUCUUGCACCCUUCUGCUACUCUCUGUUCAUCAUAUAUGCAUAGUCACUUUAACGAUACCUACAUGUACAUACUACCUCAAUAAGCCUGACUAACAGGUGUCUGUAUAUAGCCUUGCUACUCCUAUUUUCAAAUGUCUUUUUACUGUUGUUUUAUUUCUUUACUUACCUACACACACACACACACACACACACACACACACACACACACACACACACACACACACACACACACACACACACACACACACACACACACACACACACACACACGCACCAUUGGUUAGAGCCUGUAAGUAAGCAUUUCACUGUAAGGUCUACUACACCUGUUGUAUUCAGCGCAAGUGACAAAUAAACUUUGAUUUGAUUUGA
Long non-coding RNA from Oncorhynchus nerka (sockeye salmon), 7883 nucleotides. RefSeq lists it as uncharacterized. Lineage: Eukaryota; Metazoa; Chordata; Actinopteri; Salmoniformes; Salmonidae. The transcript has 2 exons. The record is from RefSeq and is a predicted model, not a curated record.